Non-coding RNA from Camellia sinensis, 1693 nucleotides. NCBI's taxonomy places the organism in Eukaryota, Viridiplantae, Streptophyta, Magnoliopsida, Ericales, Theaceae. The record is from RefSeq and is a predicted model, not a curated record.
AACCCUAAUUUUGAAUCCUCACGGCUUCAAAUAUCGCCUCUCUCUCAACCGUCUCUAAACCCUUAUCAUUCUCACGAUGUUGCUCCAGAGCGGUGUCAUCCUUCAGAGCGAUUUCGAUUUCGAAGCUCCACCGCGACCACCGGCGAGGUAGCGAGCACCAUCGGCGAGCAAUUUCGAUUUCGAAUCUCCAGAGCGGCGUCUAGAUCUCUCUCUUCAUCUUUGAGAUUCAGAGAUUCAGAUCGGUCUCAGUGAUUUCAUCUCAGAGCUAUUUCGAUUUUGAAGUUCUCUCUGUCGAUUUCCAAACUCCAGCGAGGGAAUUGACAUUAAAGAAAUGCUUGUUGGUGCAUCAUUGAUGGAUGAGGCAAAUAGGACCACCGUGUCAUGCAAUUCUUAGGUAUCUUGCUUGUGCAUUUCCUGGAGUAGUUGAUCACUGGUGUCUGAUCUAUUCAAAAGGUCAAAGAUUGAAUUAGUGUUGGAUUGGCAUCACUCUAAUUUACGCUGUGGUGCAGCUACUUAUGUUCUAAAUACUACGCUUGCACCUGUGCUUGGCCUUCAAUUGAACCCACAAGCUGCUGCUGAAGGUGAAAAACUAUUGUUUGCAUCACUUGCAAAGAUUGAGUCUUUUUGGUUGAAGGGGAAUGGUCGGUUUUUGCUAGGAAGCUCUCAGUAGUUCGAGUGGAGGGUUUUAUGCUUGGACACACAAAAGCUGGAGAGUUCGAGAAGAGUUUGCACGUACAGUCACAUCAGCGAUUGGUCUUUUUGCAUCUACUGAGCUCCCUCUUCAGCGUGCUAUUCUUCCUCCUAUUUUGCAAAUGUUGAAUGAUCCAAAUCUUGUUCCCUCCUCAGGAGAUGUAUACUCGGGCUGGGCCUCAGUUUCGUGAUGAACUUUAGCGUCAUCAUCUUCCCACAUCACUGGUGAGAUAAAACCUACUAACCUUAAUCCCAAAAGGAGCAGUCCAAAAGCCAAGAAUUCCACUCGGGAGGUGUCUCUGUUUGGAGGUUGUGGAUUUGCUUGGUAGUCAUCCCAUUGUUCGGCCAAUGCCACAUCAGCAACAAUCUCAUACAUUUUCAUCUCAAGAGGUUCACCUUUCAAAGAAAGAGAAGAACAAGAACAAGAACAAGAACAAGAAGAACUAACAAGGUGAUUGCUUUUAGUGAUGAGGAGGGAGUGAGAUUUCAAUCUACUUUCUUACUAAUUGGUUGUAACGCUGCUUGUUCUAAGUAAACUGACAAGUAGACUUUGUUCAGUGGUCUGACAGUGCAAAAUGUUCUAAAAGAGAACUCUAUAGAAAUUUCCGAGGAAAGCUUCUUUGAGCUAAAGUAUGAUCCGGAGUCUGUUUGGGGUUAUAUCGAGGUAUUCAGUCCAUGUUGAAUAUCCUGUGGUUAUUCAAGCUACAUAACUUUCUCCGUUUGGUUUCAAUUUGGGAAUGUUUGUUAAAAAAAUUUGAAAAAAAAUUAAACACUAGUUUGGUGGGGGGGAAAAAUGAAAAUAUCUUAAACACUCGUCAUUUUCAUAUGUUUUUCUCUUUUGUACUAACAUUAUAUUGUAACUUCUAGGCAGUUCAUAUUAAUAUUUGGAAGAGUAUUGUAAUAUUUUUCAGAUUUGUAUUUGCAUUCAUGUUAACACACUAAGGCCUCGUUUGGGAAUCCUCAUUUUUAGCCAAAAAGUAAAAAAGUUACUAAAUUAGCCAAA